AAGUUAAAAGAUCAGAAGUUUCUGUGUGUAACCACAUUCCUUAUUGCUGUUUGGUUUAUUACAGUAAUGCUGCAAGAAGGAAUUGGCACUCAUCUAGCAUGGAGCUAUGUCAUACUGAUACUGCUUCAUAGCAUCAAUUCAAGUUUUACAUCACCAACUCAUCAUGCUUUGGAAAAAAAUGAAGUGGCAGCCAGCAAAUUUAUCACGAAACUGAAAGAUGCAUCUGAAGCUCUUUUAAACUUCUUCAGGCCAGUGACUUGCCGAUACAAAGAAAAGCACUCCUUAGUCCCUUGUCAUGUAGGAGGGAGCAUUAAUGCAACAGAAUGCUUGGAAAAUAGAUGUUGUCCUUCCAAAGGCAACCAUGAACUGAAAUGUUAUAUCCCAUUUAAAGACGAUCUGCAACUGACGUUUCGACUGUUUUUGCUUGGGGCGGUAGGAUUUUUAAUUUUGGGUUGUCUACCAUUAUGUUGCUGUGCCUGCUUGCAGAGGAGUCAAUGUGCUAAUCCUUUGCGAAGAGCAAACAAAAAAAUAGAACAAAUUGUGCAGAACAAGAGAGCAAGUAGUGAAGAAAUGCAUAGCUUGUUACCGAAUUGACUUAAAGACUUUGAGGAUCAUAAAUAUAAGAGAAAGAGGACCAUUCGUGUAAUAUUAAUGCACUCAAGCAGAAGAAAGACACCGGGAUUAUGUGCUAACCAUGAGUAUGCUCUAGAAAAUGAGAUGAUUUGUUUUAGCAUCAAAAUAAUACAGUGUUGUCAACCCUUGAUAAUGCUAUUGAUUCUGCA
RNAcentral lists this long non-coding RNA (782 nucleotides) under Gallus gallus (chicken). Its description in RNAcentral is "long non-coding RNA NONGGAT006779". Lineage: Eukaryota; Metazoa; Chordata; Aves; Galliformes; Phasianidae. The record is from RNAcentral.